Molecule: ribosomal RNA, 492 nt
Filed under: uncultured bacterium
Lineage: Bacteria
Description: partial 16S ribosomal RNA
Rfam family: Bacterial small subunit ribosomal RNA
Source: RNAcentral
AGUGAACGCUGGCGGUAGGCCUAACACAUGCAAGUCGAACGGCAGCACAGUAAGAGCUUGCUCUUACGGGUGGCGAGUGGCGGACGGGUGAGGAAUACAUCGGAAUCUACUUUUUCGUGGGGGAUAACGUAGGGAAACUUACGCUAAUGCCGCAUACGGCCUACGGGUGAAAGCAGGGGAUCUUCGGACCUUGCGCGAUUGAAUGAGCCGAUGUCGGAUUAGCUAGUUGGCGGGGUAAAGGCCCACCAAGGCGACGAUCCGUAGCUGGUCUGAGAGGAUGAUCAGCCACACUGGAACUGAGACACGGUCCAGACUCCUACGGGAGGCAGCAGUGGGGAAUAUUGGACAAUGGGCGCAAGCCUGAUCCAGCCAUACCGCGUGGGUGAAGAAGGCCUUCGGGUUGUAAAGCCCUUUUGUUGGGAAAGAAAAGCAGCAGGUUAAUACCCCGCUGUUCUGACGGUACCCAAAGAAUAAGCACCGGCUAACUUCGUG